CGCUGGCGGCGUGCCUAACACAUGCAAGUCGAACGGGGUUACGAGAGCUUGCUCUUGUAACUUAGUGGCGAACGGGUGAGUAACGCGUGAGAAACCUGCCUCUCAGUGGGGGACAACAGUUGGAAACGACUGCUAAUACCGCAUAAUGUGCCGGGAGGGCAUCCUCCUGGUACCAAAGCUUUAUGUGCUGAAAGAUGGUCUCGCGUCUGAUUAGCUAGAUGGCGGGGUAACGGCCCACCAUGGCGACGAUCAGUAGCCGGUCUGAGAGGAAGGUCCCCCACACUGGAACUGAGACACGGUCCAGACUCCUACGGGAGGCAGCAGUGGGGAAUAUUGGGCAAUGGGCGCAAGCCUGACCCAGCAACGCCGCGUGAGGGAAGAAGGCCUUCGGGUUGUAAACCUCUGUCCUAUGGGAAGAACACAAUGACGGUACCAUAGGAGGAAGCUCCGGCUAACUACGUG
RNAcentral lists this ribosomal RNA (462 nucleotides) under uncultured bacterium. RNAcentral describes it as "bacterial SSU rRNA". It matches the Rfam family "Bacterial small subunit ribosomal RNA", at positions 34 to 507 of the family's 1533-position model. The record is from RNAcentral.